AGUGAACGCUGGCGGUAGGCCUAACACAUGCAAGUCGAACGGCAGCACAGUAAGAGCUUGCUCUUACGGGUGGCGAGUGGCGGACGGGUGAGGAAUACAUCGGAAUCUACUUUUUCGUGGGGGAUAACGUAGGGAAACUUACGCUAAUACCGCAUACGACCUACGGGUGAAAGCAGGGGAUCUUCGGACCUUGCGCGAUUGAAUGAGCCGAUGUCGGAUUAGUUAGUUGGCGGGGUAAAGGCCCACCAAGGCGACGAUCCGUAGCUGGUCUGAGAGGAUGAUCAGCCACACUGGAACUGGGACACGGUCCAGACUCCUACGGGGGGCAGCAGUGGGGAAUAUUGGACAAUGGGCGCAGGCCUGCUCCAGCCAUACCGCGUGGGUGAAGAAGGCCUUCGGGUUGUAAAGCCCUUUUGUUGGGAAAGAAAAGCAGCAGGUUAAUACCCCGCUGUUCUGACGGUACCCAAAGAAUAAGCACCGGCUAACUUCGUG
RNAcentral lists this ribosomal RNA (492 nucleotides) under uncultured bacterium. RNAcentral describes it as "partial 16S ribosomal RNA". It matches the Rfam family "Bacterial small subunit ribosomal RNA", at positions 29 to 507 of the family's 1533-position model. The record is from RNAcentral.